CGGGUGAGUAACACGUAUGCAACCUGCCUGCCACAGCCGGAUAAUCGGGAGAAAUUCCGUCUAAUACGGCAUAAUGCAUCGACGGGACAUCCUGUUGGUGCCAAAGGUUAAUUCCGGUGGCGGAUGGGCAUGCGUCGCAUUAGUUAGCUGGCGGUGUAACGGACCACCAAGACGACGAUGCGUAGGGGUUCUGAGAGGAAGGUCCCCCACACUGGUACUGAGACACGGACCAGACUCCUACGGGAGGCAGCAG
RNAcentral lists this ribosomal RNA (253 nucleotides) under uncultured bacterium. RNAcentral's name for it is "partial 16S ribosomal RNA". It matches the Rfam family "Bacterial small subunit ribosomal RNA", at positions 103 to 354 of the family's 1533-position model. The record is from RNAcentral.